AAGGAGCAUCUAGGCUGCCGGGCUUGCCCGGUGGUCCAGGGCCAUAACGCAGGCGAAUGUUUUGCGGUGGUUGCUCAUGGGUGGAACGUUGAUUAUUCGGCAUCUUGAGUCAUCUCAGGCUGUGAGUACUGUCCUUUCGGGGGCGUGGAAAGCUGAUUUGAGUGGUGAGGGUGCCGGGCACGCUGUUGGGUGUCUAAGGGUAUGGCCGUACUUUACGGUUGCCUUCAGUGCCGGCCCCAGUCAACUCCGGUGGUUACCGGGGGUGAUGGGUGGUAGGUCGUUG
Molecule: unclassified non-coding RNA, 283 nt
Filed under: Streptomyces bottropensis ATCC 25435
Lineage: Bacteria; Bacillati; Actinomycetota; Actinomycetes; Kitasatosporales; Streptomycetaceae
Description: partial 16S-23S ribosomal RNA intergenic spacer
Source: RNAcentral